GAUGAAGAACGUAGCGAAAUGCGAUACUCGGUGUGAAUUGCAGAAUCCCGCGAAUCAUCGAGUUUUUGAACGCAAGUUGCGCCCGAAGCCAUUCGGCCGAGGGCACGUCUGCCUGGGUGUCACGCAUCGUUGCCCCCCCAAACUCCGGUUCGGGCAGGGCGGAAGUUGGCCUCCCGUGCGUGCCUGCGCGCGCGGUUAGCCCAAAAGCGAGUCCUCGGCGACGAGCGCCACGACAAUCGGUGGUUUUUUUACCCUCGUUCCUCGUCGUGCGUGCCCCGUCGCCCGAACGCGCUCUUGCGACCCUUACGCGUCGCCUCGGCGGCGCUCCCAACGCGACCCCAGGUCAGGCGGGACUACCCGCUGAGUUUAAGCAUAUCAAUAAGCGGAGGA
This 390-nucleotide unclassified non-coding RNA is filed under the name soil metagenome. RNAcentral describes it as "partial contains 5.8S ribosomal RNA, internal transcribed spacer 2, and large subunit ribosomal RNA". The stretch from base 1 to 122 matches the Rfam family "5.8S ribosomal RNA", at positions 35 to 154 of the family's 154-position model. The record is from RNAcentral.